AGCAUUUGUGAACAAUGAGCAAUAAAAGCCAAAAUUUGAGUUCACAUGUUUUUCUUGAAGAAUCUUUGAUCAUACAUGUCUAAAAUAAUGUUUUAACAUGGUUGAAAUGAGAUUGUAAUUUGUUCUCACACAAAUCCAUGUUUUGAGAUCAUUAUACCUUAGAAUAUUUCAUGUUUUGCACCUUUCUUUGGAUUUUCAAUAUGUAGGAAUCAAGCAUAAUUGACUCUUUAGCAUUGCUAGUCAUGUCACAACCCGGUACCCCCCUUGAGCCCGUGACAAAUGCCGUGACAUCUCGGUUGACAUUCGUUACCCAGAGUGCCAACCGGAACCUCGCAAGGCUUUAGUACCAUUUUUUUUUCAUCUCCCCUAUGAGUAAUCAUCGCCAAACCUCGUUUUUAAAGAAUUUUAAGCUUUUUCCCUUUCCAAACUGUGGAAAAAUAAUUUUCUCCUCACAGGGGCAUUUUCAUCAUUUUUCCUCGAAAUUUUUCGAACCCGACUAAAAAUGUAGUAGAUGAGUGGAAAACACAUAUUUCAUGAUUUAAAAUAAAGUUGGGUGUCUAAAACAUUUAUUGAAAAUGAUAUUGCAACUAUUUGAAUAAAAUAAAAAUAUUCAAUAAGAUAUUCUAAUUUCUUGUAAAACAAUAUUUAUAGAGUCAUCGGUAAAUAAUUUUUGUAAUGUAAAAGCUAAAUAAAUUCAUACGUACUAUAAUACAGAUAACCGAGAUAUGAAAUUUACUUUACAAUGACUCAUGGGCCCACAAGGAACAAAAGUGCACAAAGGCAGUAAACCUACAGUUUUUGGAGUAGUAAAGUCGACUAUAAUCCUUGACGAUAUCUGCUAUCCACAGGCUACCUCAGGCCUGAAAUGGUUGAAAAUGAGGGCGGUGAGAUUAUAAAUCCCAGUGAGUAAAUACAUAUCAUCUAAACCAUCUAAAGUUGAGUAAAUGGAGAUAGAUAAAAUAGUUUAACAUACUGAAAUUCAUCACCUUUUAACUUGUUUCAACCAAAUAAAAUCAAUUCAUAUAAAUCGAGUAAUUAACAUGGCUUAUGAAUUUUUUAAAACUUUGGCUCGUGCCAAAAUCAGUAUCAUACUCAAUCAUCAGGGAUACCUUGGCCGAGGGCUAUCCCAAACUGAGUCCGCCAAGGCUGUUAAAAAGUUAUGUACGCAUAAAUCAUGUUUUUAUUUUGAAAACAUAGCCGUUUCUUGGCGUUGGCCGAGUUCACCCUCACGUGGUGGUUGGGCGUGAAGUGAACUCUAAAGUUUGACCUCGGGAGUUACCCUACGCGCCUCUCUAAUUGAGGUACAUAUAUAUGACCAGGUUCCGUGCCCCUCUAAUAGGUUGGUCUACAGAACCAGCCCACUGCAACAAGCUAAACCCACCAUACAAUAAAAAUUCAACAACAUGAUAUGGCAAUUUUAUCAUUAUCCAGCUUAUCAAGGAAAACAACAGUUUAUACAUUUCAACACAAAUACCAAUUCAGCCAUUCAUGCAAAUAUUGUCAUAAGCCAAUAAAUUAAAACCAUAAAUUCACAAUACAUCAAAUGGUCUCCAAUUACUCUAUUUUCAAAGCCUUCAUUCAAUUUCAAGACCAUUUAUGAAAUCAUUUUGUUUAAACACAUUUUGUUUAUAAAACCUAAAAAUUUACCAUUUAAACUCAUUGUCCAUUAAAUCAAAAAAACAAAUAAAAACCACUCUAGAUAAUUAAGACGAUAGUAAGGUUACUCAUAGUACUAGGAGUUCGAUAUACUCCUAUUCCCGAUCUUCAGGCACAAUCUCUUUACUCUUGUUAGAGGGCUCACCACCUAUACAUCAUACGUGACACGAAUUUCAAUAAAUUGUGUCAAUUUAUCAUAAACUAUUUCAGGCUCUAUAAAUCUAUAUGAAUGCACGAAAUGUGAUGCAAAAUGUUCGAAUAACCACUUAAAUACGGUAUUCGACCUAAAUCGCACUAUUCUCGGUGUAAUUGGCUAAAACCUCCAAUUUAACUCCAAAUAGAUUUCUUUCACUUUCUACACUCCAAUUAUACUUAAAAUACCUCAAUGACUGUGAAUAUGAUUCAAUUUAUCAGUCCGAACCACAAAUCGCACAUGUCUAUACAUUAGGUAAAAAUUCAGAUUUUCAUGGCAAAAUUUCUCAUUAAAUUUCUAGCCUCACCAAUCAUUAAAUACCACCAAAAUAUCAUUAAAUAUCAUCAAUAUCAGCCUCAAUAUCCUCCCUAAAAAUUUGGCCUCUUGUGGGUUUGUGAAGAACAAAGUGAUUCCUUGCCAGAUUUUCAUACUUUCCAUUACCAAACAACCAAAAACACUUAAUUAGCUUGAAAUCUAGCAAAAUCAAUGCUCAAAACCUCUCCUCUCAAAUUCGGCCAGCAUGGGUUCAUCAUGCAAACUUGAGUUCUAAGCAUGGAAAAUGAAAAAGAAAGCAUGGGUAGUGUAAAUCACAAGAUAAAAUCACAAAAUUUUACCUUUAUUAGCUUAAUCCCUUGAAAUCCCACACUUUUUCUUCAAUUUUCCCACCUAGGGUUUGUGUUCUUUCCUUUCCUCUUCACUUCAUGCUUUGG
RNAcentral lists this long non-coding RNA (2559 nucleotides) under Theobroma cacao (cacao). RNAcentral's name for it is "long non-coding RNA (TCAC_LNC004823)". Lineage: Eukaryota; Viridiplantae; Streptophyta; Magnoliopsida; Malvales; Malvaceae. The record is from RNAcentral.